UAGCUGAAACACCAGAAGUUGGAAAACAACACAAGAAAGCCAUGAAACUUUCAGCCUGUGUGUUGCUGUCCAUGGCCAACGACUGAACCCCUGCAGUGGACCCUGCGGUGAAGAGAACAGCUCCUGCAUAAGUCCUCCCCUCCCUUCUCCUCAGCUCUCCCAGACAUUCCUUCCACCUGUGGCCAAUGUGGAGCAUGCCUCUCUGCUGACAUGUCUUCGUCAGAUGAUCCUCACAUUUGGUGUCCACUCACAUUCACCAAUUUAUUUCUGCCUCAGCAGCCUUAAGUUUGGUCAGCCUUACCAUGUUGCAGGCCCUGAACCAGGAAGUUGGGGUCUGGUGGCCCUGCUGCCAGUUUGGAGGAAGGGUAUUCCCCUGGGAGAAUUCUGAGCUCAGAGGGUCCUCCAGAGUUGUCAAGGGGCUGGAGGAGGUUUCUCCUGGUGGCCCGAGGGUACCUCCAAGGCCCAGAGGCAGAUGCAACUGAGGGGAAGGCCAUGCUCAGAAGGCCAUGGUCCAUGCAGGAGGUGGAACUAGAGGAGCACCCAGGAAGAAGGAAGAAGUGGAAGGACGCGCUGGGAGAAGGUGAAGUUGCGGUCUCAUCAUGUGUUGAAAGUAUGAUUUCACUAUGGAGGCAGCGGGAGCCCCUGAAGGAGUAAUCUUUUUGCUCCUUUAAACAUGCACAUGGCACAAAAGUCAAAGCAUGCAGAGGGUAUGCUGAACAGUGAGUCUCCCCCACCCUGUCUGCACACCCUCUGGGCCCCUUUCUAGAGGUGCUGCUGUGCCCUGUGUGUCUGUGUGGAGCUCUUCC
Molecule: long non-coding RNA, 806 nt
Filed under: Callithrix jacchus (white-tufted-ear marmoset)
Lineage: Eukaryota; Metazoa; Chordata; Mammalia; Primates; Cebidae
Description: lncRNA (ENSCJAG00000083119.1)
Source: RNAcentral